AAACAGAUUUAAGAAUGAAAUAUUGAUUUUUCUGACCCUGAAAAAAAGAAUCCUAGAAUGACUGGACCAGAGGAUUGGAAAGAACGCUUUCUGAAGUGCAUUUUCCAGCUAGUAACCAUGUUUUGUUUUAUUUUUGUUUUCUCUACCUUUUAGGUCUGUUUGCCUGGACCCAUCAACAUCUGGGAGACUAAUCAACCACACUGAAAAUGUUUCCGGGGGAUUGUGGGGGAGGGGGUUGGAAUGUAGAUGUUUGAAACAAAUGUGUAUAAAUAAAUGAAUUGUUGAUAACUUAGUUAUUGACCUGGAGACUGGUAGCUUGUUAAAGAAACUCCAUGUUCCUUCUUCCUGGAGUUGGGCGGUUUCUGUAGGCACUUUUAUUUCUCCACUUUCAAAAGCUUGGGCUUGGCCCAACUGUGAGGCUGCCCAAUCCUGUUUCUAUUACCAAUUUAAAUCUAUGGCUUGAACCUCUACACUGAAAAACCAAAUCCAUUCCCUUUAAAAAGAGAGGAAAAAAAAAAAACAUUUCUCAGAAGUCCUAUGUUCUGGCUUUCUUUUUUGUUAUUGACUACUGAAGACUUUGAACAUGCCCCCUUAAUAAAUAUAUUAAAAUUGAAAAAGAAGAUGAA
Molecule: long non-coding RNA, 626 nt
Filed under: Lynx pardinus (Iberian lynx)
Lineage: Eukaryota; Metazoa; Chordata; Mammalia; Carnivora; Felidae
Rfam family: HOX antisense intergenic RNA myeloid 1 conserved region 5 (bases 343-490)
Source: RNAcentral